GCCCGACUAGCUCAGCUGGAGGAGUGUGUGACUCCUGAUCUCAGGAUUGUGGGUUCAAGCCCCACGUGGGGCA
This is a non-coding RNA of Lutra lutra (Eurasian river otter), 73 nucleotides long. NCBI's taxonomy places the organism in Eukaryota, Metazoa, Chordata, Mammalia, Carnivora, Mustelidae. The record is from the annotation of a RefSeq genome assembly.